AACGCAAUAAGUAUCCCGCCUGGGGAGUACGGUCGCAAGACUGAAACUCAAAGGAAUUGACGGGGACCCGCACAAGCAGCGGAGCAUGUGGUUUAAUUCGAAGCAACGCGAAGAACCUUACCAAGGCUUGACAUCCCUUGACCGCCAUGGAAACAUGGCUUCCCUUCGGGGCAAGGAGACAGGUGGUGCAUGGUUGUCGUCAGCUCGUGUCGUGAGAUGUUGGGUUAAGUCCCGCAACGAGCGCAACCCUUAUCAUUAGUUGCCAGCGGGUAAUGCCGGGAACUCUAAUGAGACUGCCGGGGAUAACUCGGAGGAAGGUGGGGACGACGUCAAAUCAUCAUGCCCCUUAUGUCUUGGGCUACACACGUGCUACAAUGGCCGGUACAGAGGGCUGCAAACCCGUGAGGGGGAGCGAAUCCCAAAAAGCCGGUCUCA
RNAcentral lists this ribosomal RNA (435 nucleotides) under uncultured bacterium. RNAcentral describes it as "bacterial SSU rRNA". It matches the Rfam family "Bacterial small subunit ribosomal RNA", at positions 854 to 1290 of the family's 1533-position model. The record is from RNAcentral.